AUGUUUGGCCUGUGGAUGCAGUCGGCGCUCGAUGCUUGCUCGGUGUGGCCCUCCUUCCGUGUUCUUAGUUGGCUAGUUGGUGUAGGCGUAGUGUUGGGCGUCGGCAUCAGUGUUUCUGCUGUUGCCAUUGUGUUGUUCUACCUACUGCCUUGUAUCUUCCUUUCCGUUUUGCUUUGCAUUUCAUCUAUAUCAUGGUGCCUUUGUAAUCCUAGCCGGUUGAUGACUUUGUUAAUUCAAAGUCGGGCUAGGUUCGAGCUCUUCUCGGGCUCGGCCGGUGCCUUUUCUCUAAAAAAAGGUGUGGAAGGACGACAACAGGCUGGAGCAGCACGAUGA
This 333-nucleotide ribosomal RNA is filed under the name Triticum aestivum (bread wheat). RNAcentral describes it as "partial small subunit ribosomal RNA". Lineage: Eukaryota; Viridiplantae; Streptophyta; Magnoliopsida; Poales; Poaceae. The record is from RNAcentral.